UAAGAUAGAUUUUUGAGGGCAAAUGUGCAAUGAAAAGGCUUUUGGGGGUCCCCAUAUCCACUAAUAGAAAAGAGGGUAGAUCCGCUCAGGAUGAGGUUAUCCUUUCUGAAUUGGAACCUGGAGAUUAAGCACUAGACUGAAUCGGAAGUUCAAGAUUCUUCGCAUGGCUGAAAGCGGACGGAUCGGUCGAUGAAAUUGACGAGCUCGACUCCUGCCACUGGCAUAGGAGAGGGAAAUGGGUAGCCGGAUAGGCGCGAAGGACAGGCUCAAAGAAUUUGAGUAGCUUUCUUAGGCUUUUUUCCUUGAAGAUUCACGAGUCAAAAGCUGGAACCCACGGAGCGGAAUAAAGAAUAGACCUCUCAGUAUCCGGAAAAGAAACUCAAACAAGAAUCAAGCCUAUAAAAGAAAUGAACAUAGUUUGAUUCUUUCAUUGCGUUUUCCCGGCUUUUUUGCUUCUAAAUAGGACUUUUUCUCAUAUAUAUAUCUAACGAUAAUUGUCUAAAAAUGACUGAUUUUUCAUGAUUUCUUGCUACUUCCCUAUGGGCAAAACCUAGCAUUUCCCUCCGCGGAUUCAUCUGAAAUCUAGCUCUUCAAUCUCCCAUAUUCACCUCUUUCUUUUGCAUUCCCAUUUUUUUCUUCUUUCAUUAUCGUUAAUGAGUUCAUUCUUCUUUUUUUCUUUUCUUGACUUUGAACAGGUCCGAAGGCGCAAUGAAAUAUGCGUUGAAUGAAUGAGUGCAACUCAAGAAAUCCAUCCAUAUUAAAUUAGAAUAGAAGGAGGACUAUUCGCUAUUCUAAAACCGGGGAGCCGAGUCAAUAUUCUAAACCUUCUACGUCCUUCGAUCGGAAUGUCUUGUGUUUCGGAAUGAAGUAGCUCGACGCUUUAGGCCCAUCCCCAUGGGGCUAGGUGGGCGCCCUAGAGAUGAUAGGCGAAAGGCCAGGCCCGUGGAUUAGGACUCCCUUUCUGGAGUUCUUGCAUCCGUCGUCGCUUUAGUUCUUGAGAAAGUAGUAGAUAAGCUAGCAAAUCUCGUUAAUGAUAUCAGAUUCCCACCAAAGUCAGUAAUUUCAGGGACUAAGUUGCUCGACGUUGAGGAUAGGCUUUCAGUAUUAUUUUGAGGUUCUGGCGCUCGACUAAAAGGAGUCCAAGAUUCAAGCGUAGCCUCCAGCUAGAAGAAGAUGCCCACGUAGCGGUGCGGAUUGAGAAGUUGCCGAUGCCGAAGCAUUAGAGAAAUAGAAGUACGAAGCCUCAGAGCAAGCCGGAGAGGAAGACGUAUCGAGGGUGCUGCUAACCAGUCUGAGAAUGAGCUUACUAAAGCAGUAGAGGCAAAGGCGAGAGGUAGAUAGAAUAGCUUUUUUUUGGAAUCAGACUCGUCCUACGCAGUAGUUUCUUUCUCUUUCAGGAGUUUCAGAGGAAGCGCAGCUGCUUUCCCUACCCCUUAAGAAAAGUCAAUGAAGAAGGCUAGGGAUCCUUUUCAUGAGAGCUGGUCACGGGGGAAGGUAGGAAGAUAGGAGAGAGACCGACUACGCGGUUGAGGCAGUUCGCCCAGCAGUCGCAGCAGUUUCUCUUUCAACAAGCUAUUUUUUCUCAAUUAGUGAUAUUCAGAAGGAUGAAAGUAGGAUGAAAUACGUGCGAAGCGACUCGACCCGAGAGGGAUUGAUUCAAUCAUAAAUCAGUAAGCCACGUAGCGGUACACGGCUCGUGCACAGGGAAAAACUCCCCAACAGAGUAAGCCCACGUAGCGGUGCCAGGUUCGGUUAAUUACGGAAAGUCCUCCUUCCUUCCAUAUGGAUGGUCCUACUUCCUUCCAUUAGACCACUAAUAUUUGACGUUUCAGAGUCCUUCGCCAUUAAAGGUGGAUAGGCUUUCUUUUAAGAAUGUAGAUGUAGAAAAGAUUCCACAAAUAUUUACGGGAGAGUUGGGGAAGUGAAAGUCUGAGUUUUUGCUUUUGCAGUUGCCGUAGUAGCUUCUUUUCUUGCUUAGAAAGAUCACUCAUAAUCCCUCAGAAAGUCAGCCUCCUAUGAUAUGACCCUAGUUCCCAGCUCGGAUCGAGACUGAAAGCUAGACAGAAAGAUCUCCAGCAACCCCACCUCUUGAAUAGAAAGUAGUGCUUAGGUCGCUGUGGCAGAAAGAGAAGUCGCAUCCGUCCUUGGCAUCAAGGGCAAAGGCAGUUUAUGCUGCUGUCUCCGUCCCCGUUCGUUGAAGGAUGCGGGAUCUGGGGAGUUAGAAGAGAAGCCCUUUUCUUUUAGUAGGGGAAUUCCGUAGAAUAAGUUCUUGCUGCAGAAGUAGGAGUUUCAGCUCUUGAAUGAUAAAAGGUGCCGCUCUAAAUCCAUACUUUCGACACGAAAGAACAUAGUAGUCCUUCUUCAAUGAGAUACUACUACUAAUAAUCUACUACCUCAUAAUCAUAAAUAGUACCUCGGGACCGCUCCGUCUUCCUUAUUUAUGCUUUCAUGCUAGGUGCUUAGCAGUUCGGACCCGUAGAGUAGCUUCAAAAAAAAGUAGGAAGUUUUUCCCUUCCUUGCUGCUUAGUUGUAGAGUAGCUCGGCAGCUAGGGUUUGAGAUCUUCUUCCUUCCAGUAAAGACAUUUCUUUCUAUCUUAUGAUUCUAUUCGAAGUUUUUGCUUUCCUUGAUCGGAAUAUCAUCAAAAAUGAGUAAGGAAAAGAGCUAGCCGAUUUCAUAUCACUAUUUCCUCUUCGAGAACAGCGGCUUUCUAUCUAACCUCUGAGAAUGACCUUGCGGCUAGUCCGGUCGAUAAUCGGCUUUUGCCUUAUUCUUGAUUCGGUAAUUCUUCAUCACAUUUCCCCACGUAGCGCUAAGUUGAUGUCAAAAGAAGCAGGAAAACCAUGAAAGAGGGACGGGAGGAUUUGAACCUCCUAGCUUUAGUGGCCUGACCACGCCCCUCCUCUCCUUCCUAACCUCACUCGAGUGGCUUUCGCACCUCUCCUUCCUUUUCUCUGUCGAGCAAUAGAGCAAUUCAAACCUAUCCUUCUACAACUCAGUCAUUACAUCGAACCUCUCCUUUACAGUCUCCCGUCUGAGAACCUGCACCGAUCUCGACUUCUUCCCCUUAGCGCGCACCUUUGGACUAUAGUCAUAGGGAAAAGCCAACUUCACAUUUGAGAAAGGCGUAAAGAACAGAACCAAGAAGGAAAAACAGAAAAUAGAAAGAAAGCCUUUCCUAAAGCUGGAAGGGCCCCCCGCUCCCUUCCCCCCGGUGAAACCUCUUUCGCAAAUUCUUUGCGCUCUCUUUUAUAGCUUUCAUGAAUCAAGCCUAGGACUAUUCUUUCAGUGGAAGGUGCAAAGUGCCGGGCUGAGGCUGAAUGAAAUAUGAGAGGAGGCUCAAAGAAUUUGAGGAGCAUUUAUCUAAGAAGAGAAAACGAGUCAAGAGGACGGAGUGCAGAGUCUGAAAUCUGGGUUAAUAUGGAUAGUCCGGAGGACCUAACGGAGGCUCAAAGGAUAUUGAGACAUUCUUUCUUUUUGAUUUUGGAGGGGGGAGCGGUCUUUGCUUUUCCUCUUAGAGAAUGAGUUCUUAGCCUUACUGAAUGCGCUGAACAUCUAUCAUUCUAUAGUCAGAAUGUGGGCUCUCCCGCUGUUGGUGGUUUAGUUCUUUUAAGGGUGGUAGGAUUCAGAUUAGGAGGCUCGUUCGUAGGCUUCGAUGAAUCAAUGAAAAGUUCGCUCAAAGAAUUAUCGAAAGGAAAGUACGAGAGCCAAUCUAAAGUCAAGUAUGCCAGAACUCGUAGCCUUGUGUUGAAAGAGUCUCCUCUUUCUUGUCUUUCUUCUCCCCCCCUAAUCUCUCUCGUCUCGAAAAGACCAAUUUCAGCUUUUCUCUUCCGGCUCUGUGAUUCCUAUUCCCUGAAAUGCGCCUACUCCCCGUUUCUUCCUAAAGAAGUAGGUCGUGGAACAAGAGAGAAAGAAAAAGCCUACCAGUUCGACUAAAGCUUCCGGGCUCGGGCACCCCCCAAAUAGAUUGAAUCUUGAUGAGUCGAAAUUGACUUGCCGGAUCGAGAGAACUUUCCCGGGAACUGCCAACCCUUUCUUUUGAUGCGUCAGCCUCUGGGAACAAUAUAAUUUACCUGCUUGCCUACCCCACGGAGGGGGAAAUCUUUCUGUCGAAAGGCAAAGAAUGUGAUGUGGGUAGUCUGAUUCUUCUCUUCCUCUUUAUCUUAGGCGGGAUCCCUUUUCAGGUCUUUUUCACUAUGUAGGUAUCCCUACCUUGCUUGUCUUUCAAUGCCCUCCUUUCCUUAAGGCUACUUCAGGGAGUUCCUCCAAACCAAAUCCUACGACUAGGGACUUUCGUCUUUACUAAAAGCCUUCUAUUCAGUCUCAAUCUCUCUGACUUUAGGGAGGCCCGCAAGAAUGAAAUGCUUUGAUUGAAUUUUCUCAUUCUAGCGUUCACGGCUAGUCUAAAAGAAAGUCAAUAUACUGCCAAAUUUUCUUGAAACUAUCGCAGCUAAAGGUAAACAAGAGAUAUUUGUCGGUCUCAACCCACGGCGUAUAUAAACCCAGGAUUCGACCUCUCACUUUAGAAUGGAUAUUUCCGGGUCGGGGAAAUUCACCUUUUUUUUUCUUUUGUGCGCAACUCAUAUUGCAUUGAGCCUUUGCUUUGCUUGAACUUCUGAUCCCUAGGCUGUUCUUGGACUUGAAACCUACUUAUUUAGAUGAAAGCCUAUGGAGCGGAGCCAAGUUCGAACUAAUAGGCCAUAAGAAAAGCCCACUACGCUACGUAGUCUUGUCUGAUUCUUAGAUAUUAUGUCCUUAUAGUUGUCAAGCUUCUUCCUUCCUUGGAAGGCAGGCCAGGCAUACUCUUUUCCUAUUCAUAUGGUUCUCCUUCUCCUACGUAACGGAGAUUCUUUAUCAAAAGGACAGAUAAGCCCAUAAAAAGUGGAAGAACGACAGCAAAUAGAAACUACUGGGACGCCCUCCUUUGAAGCUGCCUCUUGCCUUUGCCAAUACUGGAAGCUCAUUCUCUUCCAUGAAGCACCCUUCUUCUUUGCUUAUUCAAAGAAUUCCAUGAAAGAAUGAGGCUGAACUCUGAAUAUAGAGGUUACGGGGACGAACAAGACACCUAUUCAAGAUCGAAUACAGCCCCUCGUCGAUCCCCGAGCGAAAGCGAUCUGAACAUGAAAAUUCUUUGAACCUUGUUCGCAAUAUUCUUUGCACCUGAUGGAUAGUCCGAAGGACCUGUCUUAUGGCGCCUAUAUCAAUCAGGAUUCUGAUAAUAGGGGAGGUGGAAGGCAGCUGGGUUAGGAGCUAAAGUCGACGAAUCCCUCAAUUUGCUUUUAGCACAUUUCCGUUUUUAUGGCAUCAAGCAGGAGUUCUUGUUUGAUAAUUGAAUAAAGGGAGACGACUUCGGCUAUGGAAGGGAAGUUAGGCUUCAGAGAAAGAAAAGAAAAGACAGAUAAUUCACCCGCGUUUGGAGUCAUAAACAUAAGUACGUACACCGGAAAAAGGUGUAAAAAAAAGGCGUCUUUUGAUUUCCCAAACCUUCCCAGGCGAAAAAGGCCUGCCCUUACUUUCCGAAACUGACAAGGUGAAAGCCUCUUAGUUUCCUAGAGAGAAUUCAGAGGUUAGCUCCUAGCUAGCCAAGAGCUCAAAAAGAAGAAAGUCAAAAACAAUGCAAGAGCAGCCCGGUCACAUCAGACGAUUCAUCCUCAUAUCUUUGUCUCAAUCCGGAAGAGGCGAAAGGAAGAACAUCCAGCCCCGUCCUUCUCACGCAAUAUGCUUUGCGCCUUGUUGCAGGAUUUCUACGAUUUCUGAGAUUUUAGAGAGAUAUAUAGAAAUCUCAUUUUUUUUUGAUGAGACCUGUCCGAAGGACUAUGAAUCAUAUUUUCGAGAAUAGAUUGAGAUUGGGAAUCUUUGCUAAACCCCCGGGAAAAGGGUAGGAAAUCUCUAUUUUCCCCUUUAGUCCAUUUAUCACAUUCAAAGGAGUAAAGGAGGUAUAACUGAAAAAGGGAAAGUGGGCCCAGCCCAGGAUGAGCGAAGGCAGCUUUGGAGAGAGAAAGAAGAAAGAAGGUAAGAUCGAGGCAAAGCAGAUGUUCAAGGGUUCACGCCCUCGGAUCGAGACCCGAGCCCAGUCUGAGUACUCCUAUCGAGAUAGGGAGCCCCAUGAAAAGAAAGACGAAGCUCUCCCAGCAGAGUUGGAGAAAGAUGAUCAUUCUUCAUUCUUCAAAACCUACUAUUCUUCUAUAAAAAGAGAAAAAGAAAUUCCAAGGGAGCGGAAUUCAGCCUAUCCUGAUAAAGACUAUUCAUAAGACUGGAGGGGUCCGGAGGACUAUUCAAACUCAAAGAGCAAAAUCUCAAAUUCGCAAGUCAAAUUCUCUAAUGGAUAGGCCUUUAAAGUGGGCGCAGUUGAGGUCUACAAUAUCCAUUCUUCCCGCGUAGUGGGUAUCUUGCUUUCGCAAUAUUCUUUGCUCCUUCACCCCUAUCCUUGGAAGUCGAGCCCCUUCUCGCGCCCCCUAGCUUGAUCUUCCCCUGGAGCCCACGUAGCGGUGGGGUGGUUCCAGAGUCCCAUUCGGAGACAGACCCACGGAGCGGGAAAGAUUUCCGAUCCUUAAGUAAUGAAAUACCCUUCCUUUUUCUUAUCUUAGGAGAAGCACACUCGACAGGAAGAGUCCUACGUAGCUUAAUUUAAGAAAGCCUACCUUUUUCAUUCACAAAUAGCGUCAAUAUUCUUUGAACCUCUUUCUUUUGCAUUCCCAUUUUGAGCUUCUUUCAUUCUCGUUAAUGAGUUCAUUCUGCUUUCAUUAUCGUUAAUGAGCUGUCCUACGUGCCAAAGAAAGGUCCAGGUGAUUGGAAGUCUUAGGGGAAAAGAAAAGUAAGCCAGCCUUAAAUCACUUUGCUCCUAACUCCCACUAUUUAAAUAGCUCCGGACGAGUCUGAUUCCAAAAAAAAGCUAUUAUAUUCAUCAAGGCGGAAUUUUCUUUCGUAUUACUUUUUAGAAAGAGUCUAUUCUCGAGUGGAAGAUAUUGAUCUUCUUAGGCACAGCCCGUUCCAAGGAAGCACUGAGACUAGGUUUUGAUUCUGAGACAAGGAUAUCUUCUGCGAACUUCUUGCUUUCCCUUAUACUUAGCUAUCUUAGCUUGGCAUCUACUCUACUUUCACUAGAUGCACAACUCUGACGAACUGACGCAUUUAUUUCAAGAAGGGAACUCGUAAGGCUGAGCUGCCGUCUUGAGGUGGGGAAGAAGAAAGACAAGGGAAAAGAAAAGUAUAUGGAAGAGCGGGAAGAAAUUGAAUCAGUGAUCGCUGAAGGUAGUUUACUAGCUUACUUCUUAGAGUCAGGCAAUACAUACUCCUUUCAAGCUUUUUUGAUCCCCUCUUUCUAAUAUAAUAAAGGAGUAGAUUCAAGCAAAAAAGCUCUUUCCGCUUCCGCUUCUGAAUCUGGAUGGGUUGGAAAUGAAGUUAGGGUUUAGGGCUAGUGAGUUACUAGACGUUCGUGAAGGCAGACGCGCUCGUAGACAGAAAAGGCUUUGAGCGAAGCGAGACUUCUUGAAUUAGUCAAAAGACUGAAACUGAGUCAUAGGUCAAAAGUCUACCUGGAAAUAAAAGGAAGAAAGCAAUCAAAAAAGUUCAGACCGGGUAGAUUCAUUCUGAAAAAUUCUUUGAACCCGUAGUUAGGCGCAAAGAAUAUUGCGUGAGAGAGCGAAAGACAAAGAAAAGAGAAAGGUUCUUUUCUUAUCUUUUGAGAUGAUGUCCAUUCCAUUUGCAGCUACCCCUUAGUUCCGGUUAAACCACCGGUUGCGGGCGUGGCCAUUCUUCUUUGAAGUCCCGGGUUUCAAAUCCCUUGAAAGUCUUGACUUCUCGACCCCUUCAACUGGGGGAGCUCUCUCAUGGGGUCCUCCCCACGGACUUCUUAUCCUGCUCUUGGAACCAAUCGUAUUCAUUCUUUAUAAGCUCCCCAUAAAUGAAAGGUAGUGUGAGAGAUCUUGACUGAGGGUUCUUUUCUCCUUAAUAUUCAUGGCUUUUAAUCCGACUGACUUAUCCAGCAAGGGACCCCUUCGCCCUUGGUCCCUUUUCCUUAGGCCGGGCGUUCUAAUGGAUAGUCCGGAGGACUGAUACAUCGACUGAAAUAUCAGACUAUGAAACUGAUCGAAUUCAUCGAAGAAGAUCUAAUAGCGGGCCUCUCUUUACGGUCAAUCCUUUGAGGCUUCCGCACCCACUCAAUCAGGUGUGGCGGACUCAUUCUCUACCCUUCGGGCUAACUCCCAAUCUUCUAUAAUCCAAGGUGCAAAGAAUAUUGCGGAGUUCUUUCAGUUGAUGAGAUCAGAAGCGAGACUACAUCAAAGGAGAGGUUCUCAUACGACUGAAUAGAGAAAGCUGGAUCCGCUGAGGCUGAAUCGGCUGAAAGGGAUAGGUUAGUAGCUCUCCCGUUUUAGUCAAGCAAUUCUUUCUUCUCUUUUUUUCUAGAUGUAGAUUGAGACCUUCUUUGUUGACGAGGUCACAUCCAGAUCGUCAAUAGUUCCAGUUCCGGUAGGGUGGUUAUGGGCUUGAUCCAGAGUCAUCCGUAUCGGAAGAGGUUAUGAAAUAUGCUUUUCCAGAGGGAGAGUAGUAUCCAUAGACGAAGAGGAAGAGCUCUUAGCAGCCCGAGAAGCUAGGUAGCAUCCGGUUCAAGGAGAGGUUAAGCUUGAUAAAGAAGUCCUUCGGACGGGGGAGAGGGAGCAAGACGGCAAGAAUUGUAGGUCCUACGGACUACUUUUUUUCGGGGGAGCAAGAGGGACAGAAGGGUGUCGGGGUCGGGGUAGGGCACCCCUCUCAUAAAUGAGGCACCUCAUCUCCGGUUCAGUCAUAUAUUAAUCAUCAUAUUUCAAGCUAGUUAUCCAGCAACGAGAACAAAAGAAAGAAGAAAGACAACUCAUCUGGAGUCUUUGUCUUUGGAGUUCUAGUGCUAGUGCGGGUGAAAGCUAAAGUCUCUACAAUCAUAAAAAAGGGUUAAGUUUCUUUCUAUGUUUUGGACAGGUGUGCAUUUGCUUAGCACAGUCAUUCUGUAAUUCAGAAUCAUGAAGGAGUAGAAAUGCAGAGUUCUGGCUGGGACAAACUCCCACCAUUAGGCUCGUACAAAGGGCCCAAAGCCAGAUGCAUCGGCGAGAAGGUUGAAUAGUGGCUCAACUGAGUUUACGAACGAGAAGGGAAAAAGGCCCACUCCACUGGUGGAAGCCACCACUCCUUAGUUUAGGCGGCUCUUUCUCACGCAAUAUGCUUUGCGCCUUGUUCUUGCCAUAACUUUGAUUUUGAGAAAAGGAGGAUGACUUGGGUGCAGCUCAGCUGGUCGACGUGUGUGUUGUGGAGUUUGCUGGUUCAGUUCUUCUUUCUUUUCUUUUUUCAUGGAUAAAUAAGGCUAAAAGCCUGGCUUCUCACUUCUUUUCCUUGGAUUGUCAGAAAAUUCGACCCCUUAAUUGAAUUGAGUGAAAGGGCUUUCUAUUUGGCUUGGUCUGUAGAUCGAAUGAGAGAUACCGAACACAUCUUUCAUACUCCACUUCCAAAGCAAGAGCUUCAACCGCAAAAGCAAGAAAAAGAGAAAGCGCUCCGUGGGCGGACACUGGGACAUCAACAGCCCAUUCCCCGCUUAGUGGUCUCGCCCUCUCCUUUCAGUCGAGCUAUUUCAUCCCUCUCCUUCGUAAGCUCAUCCUAUCUUGCACUCCUCUUCGCUUCGCUAGGCUUGAUCUUGAUUUGGACAGUCGAUUCAUUUCAUGUCUAGUUCUUUCACAGUUAGUGAAAAGAGCGCUACAUUUCCCUUUUCUACUUUCUUCCUCAAAGAAACUUCCCUCACAACGGGGACCUCCCUAGGACAGUUGAUCGCUACCUUUCCCCUAGGGGUCGGUAUUCUAGUAAUCCCUUGUUCAUUGAUUUCUAUGUGCCAGCUGAAGACCACUUAGACUGCUCCUGCUAAAGCAAGAAAAAGAGAUGGUAGGCUUUCCUUCCUUUUCUUCCAACGGGGACAUCAAACCUUCGGUCGAGCAUUGAAUCAAUCCUCCACGAGCCGCCUUGGGGAGUUAGUUUUCUUGGGAGUUUCCUUUGUCCCUGAACUCUGCCUUAUAGGAUGAGUCUUCCUCAUCUCUCUCCCUGCUCAAGAAAUCAGAAAUUGAAGAAGGCAGUGUCCGUAAUGAGAUCUUUCAUGAUCAGUUGUAGAAUAGGAAGAGAAAGGGGCGAGGCAGCGACCGGGCUUAGAGGAGUCUCAUUCAACAAGGGAUCUAUCCAAGGCUUCCGCUUAAAUGUCUUUUCCCUAGGCUUUCGGCACUCCGGAAAGGUAAUUCUCAGAGUCAGAAGGGGAAGAGUAAGAAAGUAGGGAGACCGUUGCAGCAGUUCUUCUUCCAGCAGAAGUAGCUGUCCUUGCUUUAGUUGUGGCUCUUGCUUUAGUUCUUCUUUCAAAGCUAAUAUGAUAAAUAGAGUGAGUAUAUUCAGAGAAGAAGCGGAAAGAGAUCAAUGAAGAAAAAUCAAGCUCCUUCUCAAUCAGUCCUAUCCAUUUUUUCUGUAAGGAGAGGACGACAAGGAAGAGAAAGAGGAAUUAAGAAGGCAAAUAAAAGGAAAAGUAUGAAAAGGAAGAAAGAGCCGUCUAAAAGCCAGAGGAGAGAAUAAUCAGCCAGAGGAGACAGGCUCGACUCUCGUUCCUCUCAUUUCCGCUUUUCAUGCCUUUCUUUUUGGGUCAAAGAAUUUGAGAGUUGGAGAACCUUAGUGAGAAUGUGAGAAAACCCACGGGGAGCGGUUUGGGGCCUAGGUGGAAUGGAAGAGAUGAAAAGAACGCCAAAUGCACUCUUUUUUGAUUCAAUGCCCUUUCUAUAUUUUCUCGCAUAAACCCGAAAAUCCACGGCUUUCCCCUACGGAAUCCUCUCUUGCACAAGGCGUCUAUGACCUAACCAUGAAAUCCUUUCGUGAGAAUGAGAAUGAAAGGGGCACGCACGAUCAUCUUCUCAAAAUUGGAUAAAAGGACUAAAGCGCGAAAACGAAAGUACGGUUUAAAGACCUCUCCCUCUCUUUCUUAUGUAUGUGGUCGGUUCUCACCCUUAAAUAGCAGCGGCGGGGAGGCUCAAAGAAUUUGAGUGUGGGUUGCAAGAUUUUCGAGUAAUUACUUAAGAUCAAGAAUCAAAGCGAGUACAUUUUGGUUGAAGGAGUCAAAUCAUCUUUGAAUUGACUUGUGGGAAAUAGGAACCAGCCCAAGAAAAAAGAUCUGAUUUGGCCGGUCCGGAGAAGAAUAUUGAUGAGAAAUAUGAGAACUAAGAAAAAGGACCAGAGCCAUAAAUCAGUCCAAGAAACCUACGGCAUAUGGAGUCUAGGCUUGAUUUGACUUUCUUCUUUUUAGUUACUAAAUAGGGAUUGGAUUUGACAUUCUUCCAUUUCCCGACAUUCAAGACCUACUUUUUCGUGCCCGGUUCCGUUCCAAGAAAAGAAAGAAAGGUUUCAAACAAAGCGCGGUGGCCCAUUGACGAGGUAGGGGCGGGAUUCCUCCUCCCCGUGGUUGAGUGAAGAACUCAAGAGGCGUCACAUGCCAUCCCGCGUAGUGGGAUCCCCGCGAAGGUCCCCAAUUCGCUGAGACUGAAAAGAAAUAAUCUACUAAAACGAAGUAUAUUCACAAAUUUCUAUAUAGCAUAAUAAAUAGUCUCAUUCUAUUAAUGAAAUAUGGAACUCAAAAGAAGAAUUCGGAAACAGGGCGUUCUCGGGCUAGCCGUCGUCGUUGAGUCAGGUCUUCAGUAUUUCAGUUUACAGGUUUAGAGUCUGAGAUCUUAUCUAGGAAUCCGUCUCUCCAGUUAGUCUUGGGUCUACGAACUUGAUCAAAGAGGAAAUAUCAUCAGCAUAGGACCCAUUUUCAUUGAUUACUGAGUUCACGAGAAGGAUUUAGCCCUCAAGAGGAGAACCGGCGCUCAAUCGUAAGCUCGACACCUGCCUGAUUCGGAAGCGAGAACAAAGCCUAAAGAAGAAAGCCAUAAAAAAAGUUAAGACGUCAACUCCUCUCCUUACAGUCGAGCCUCGGCUUUCUUUUCACUCCGAAAGUCAUUCAUUCUAUUAAAUAGCGAGACCAGUCCUCCGGACGGGAAGAAGAAGAUCGACUUAAGUCAAUGAAGAAAGUCAAUAUUCUCCCUGAGGCUACAUUCUAGAAGUUCAUAAAGACAUUUAAGCAGAAGCAAGAUAAGAUAGAGAAUCUGAAAUUGAGUAAAUGCCAUAGGCUGAAUGCAAGAAAAGACCGCGUAGUGCGUCAGCAGAGAGGAGACGGAGUUGUAGUAGUUGAUCAGAGCUAAGCUCGACAGAAUCCAUAAAAUCUAGAGGUGCUCGACCUCUUCUUUCAUUAUCCGUUGAGGAAGGGUACGCAACUCGAUCGGUCCUCCGGACUAUUCGCUAUUCGGUAUUGAAAAGAAAGGCGUAUUUCAAUCAAAUUCACCCGAAGCAGAAUAAGCAGCUGAAAGAGCGCGCUCACCCCAUCAGGGCAGGGGAAGAAGCAGUACCUAGAUAAGUUCUUGUCCCAGUCGCCGACGUUGUUCCCGCUUCAGAGGCAGAAAAAGUAGCCUAAGUUGCAGUCGCUCUAGCUUCAUAAGUUCGUCUUCUUGUUCCAUAUCCUUGGUCCGAGGAAUCUUGCUUGGUUUCGGGAAUGAGAAAGAUCUCUGUCCCAAGGCAAAUAGCCUAACUGCAAACGAGAUUGAUUGACUUUGACAUUCAGAUCUUUGCUUCUCUUUUUUACUCUUUUGUGACUCCUUCAACCCGUCUCAUUGAUAAGGACAUGUAGGCGCGAAGAAGAAAGAAAGAAAGAAGUGGAAUAAAGAGGGAAGGAAAGCCUAGGAGAUUGGAGAUUCUAGUCAGAAGAAGAAGACACUCUCUCAAGAAUAUCCCUGUCUUAUGGCACCUCGCCCUCAAAUUCUUCCCGUCCUCCCGUCCAGAUCCCCCAACUAAAAAAGGGAAGGUUCAAAGAAGAAAAAUCAGGCGCGGGUGCAGAUGACUAUCCAUUAGGGAAUUUGACUUUGGAGGCGCAAUGAAAUAUGCGUUGAGGAUCCAUUCAAAGUUCAGCGGGAAGAACUGGUCCGGAGGAUUUAUCCGUAGGACUCUAAAACGGAGGACCCAAAGAAAGAUUAGACUUUUCCGCAAUAUUCUUUGCGCCUUAUCUUUUUCCACUAAGUUUUAGGAGGAGUAUUAAGACCGAAGGACUAUGAAGAAUAUUUGAGUUUCUAGGAUGACUAAAAAUCCUUUCUUUCAAAGUACCGCGUAGUGGGUGAACAAGGUUCAAAGAAGAUUUCAUUGUUUUCUUCCUCUCCAGCUUGACUUUAGAUCUCAGGAGAGCUCUUUCUUUCAUUCUAGCCCACGCCUAGCCUUUUUUCUCUCGCCCACUACUAGUACUAGAACGAACAAAAAAAGCUUUCUAGGCCCCUUUGGGAAUCGUUCUUUAUCAUCAAUCGAAUGGAACCAAGGUUCAAAGAAUAUUUCAAGUCCAAGAACAAGAAAGUUCAGUCAAGAAUUUCAUUUUGAUGCAAAAGGCUGAAUGAAUAUGAGAGGACUAUUCGCUAUGAUAAAAGAGGACAAUGAAAUCAAUCUUCUUUGAACCUCGCAAUAUUCUUUGCGCCUCCGCCUACUUCUCUUUUUAAUAGAGUUCAUGACUUGCGCUCCUUAAUAGAAAGCCGAGCCUUGCCCCGUCCUCAGUCGGUUAAUUACGGAUGGUCCUACGGAUAAAUCACCUGGACCUUUCUUUGGCCCUGCGGACUCCGGACUCCGGACCUGUGACGCCUUCGGACCUGUCUUGGAAAUCUUCUUUGAACCUCCGGACAUGCCCUAGGAAUGAAGCUGAACCUUCGCUUCGAUCACGCAAUAUGCGCCUCCGGACUGAUCCUACAGUCGUCAAAUAUGAUUCAUAGUCCAAAAAUCAAGGUCCAGAUGACAGGCUCAAUGAAAUUUGAGUUUCUGACUCCCGGUAGCGGCAAUAUUCUUUGCGCCUUCUCACAUUCCCCGUCACCUGUCCUACGUGCCAAAGAAAGGUCCAGGUUAUCCUCCGGACUAUCCGUAAUUAACCGAAGGAGGACUUUCCGUAAUUAACCGAACUUUGCGCCUUCUGACUAUGAAAUCUAUUACUUUGAACCUUGUUCAUUGACUUUCUUCCUAGUGCGAGUGAGAGUGAUCCUUUCCCCUUUCACUAUUUAUUCUUUGUGUACUACCUUUGUGUACUACUUCUAUUAAUUCAAUAAAGAAGAGGUCGAGCUCCCUUCAAGGAUUAUCUAAUUCGGGCCGUGCCCUCUCUUCCUCUUCAAAGCCAAAACCGUGGGAAAACCUGGUUAGGAGUGAUUUCCCAACUGCAUACGUGCAUGGUCUUCUUUAGCUUUC
RNAcentral lists this long non-coding RNA (14287 nucleotides) under Cucumis sativus (cucumber). RNAcentral describes it as "long non-coding RNA (CSAT_LNC000005)". The record is from RNAcentral. Lineage: Eukaryota; Viridiplantae; Streptophyta; Magnoliopsida; Cucurbitales; Cucurbitaceae.